This 440-nucleotide ribosomal RNA is filed under the name uncultured bacterium. Its description in RNAcentral is "bacterial SSU rRNA". It matches the Rfam family "Bacterial small subunit ribosomal RNA", at positions 958 to 1399 of the family's 1533-position model. The record is from RNAcentral.
AACGCGAAGAACCUUACCUGGGCUCGAAAUGUAGUGGAAUCCGGUGGAAACAUCGGCGUCUAGCAAUAGACCGCUAUAUAGGUGCUGCAUGGCUGUCGUCAGCUCGUGCCGUGAGGUGUUGGGUUAAGUCCCGCAACGAGCGCAACCCUUACUCAUAGUUGCUACCCGCAAGGGAGAACUCUAUGAGGACUGCUCCGGAUAACGGAGAGGAAGGUGGGGAUGAGGUCAAGUCAGCAUGGCCUUUAUGUCCAGGGCUACACACGUGUUACAAUGCGCGCCACAAAGCGUCGCGAACCCGCGAGGGGGAGCUAAUCGCAAAAAAGCGCGCUCAGUUCGGAUUGCAGUCUGCAACUCGACUGCAUGAAGCCGGAAUCGCUAGUAAUGGCGCAUCAGAACGGCGCCGUGAAUACGUUCCCGGGCCUUGUACACACCGACUGUAC